This 74-nucleotide transfer RNA is filed under the name Fusibacter paucivorans. Its description in RNAcentral is "tRNA-Gly". It matches the Rfam family "tRNA". From Rfam's summary of the family: Transfer RNA (tRNA) molecules are approximately 80 nucleotides in length. Their secondary structure includes four short double-helical elements and three loops (D, anti-codon, and T loops). The record is from RNAcentral. Lineage: Bacteria; Bacillati; Bacillota; Clostridia; Eubacteriales; Fusibacteraceae.
GCGGGUGUAGCUCAAUGGUAGAGCCCCGGCCUUCCAAGCCGGUUGUGAGAGUUCGAUUCUCUUCACCCGCUCCA